GUUGUAAACACGCCACUUUGAUUAGUGAAGGUCGCAAGCCCUUAGAAAGUGUGAGCGCAAC
This 61-nucleotide non-coding RNA is filed under the name unclassified sequences. The record is from RNAcentral.